This 1534-nucleotide long non-coding RNA is filed under the name Oryzias javanicus (javanese ricefish). RNAcentral's name for it is "lncRNA (ENSOJAG00000008019.1)". Lineage: Eukaryota; Metazoa; Chordata; Actinopteri; Beloniformes; Adrianichthyidae. The record is from RNAcentral.
AGUCAUGCAAGACAAAGCCAUAAGAUGGAGGAAGAGGAGGAGGCGGACACCAGCACUUUCUACUGUUGGAGAUGAUGCAUCAGCACGAAGAUCAGGUGUCUUCACUGAGUUGGGAGAUGAAGCAGUUAAGACAGUAAAGCUGUGGGUCAUGGUGGGAUAGGAUGUCUCCCCGGCUGGUUUCUAAAAUAGACCUAUUGAAGAACAUUUUCUGGUUAUUGGCUCUGUCUAGACUUCAUCUCAUUGAUCCUCCUUCUGCUUAAUUCUCUGUCUCUCCCUCAAAAUGUUCUUUUUAAUGCUCCAAGUAUUAAAUGUGCUUUGAAAGUGGAAAGUUGUUUAAAUGUUUUCAUUCUAACAUAAAUGCCUAAAGCAAAACGGAAAAAUGUAACUUGUAAACUAAAAUAUUGCCGAAUAUAUAUUUUUGAAAAUUCCCCUCGUCUCCCAUUAAGGAUAUUUGAAUUCUAUGAUAAUUACAAAGGCAGAACAUAAACAAAAAUCCUUUAGAUUUGAAUUUAUUUAAUUAUUUUUUAUUUAAAAAAAUGUGUUUUUCAAAAAUGACAGAAAUGCCUUAUAAAGACUGUAAAACCUGAAAAAUGUGAGCAGUAACCUAAAAAAAGGGGAAAAAUACAUUAUUUAAUUAAUGUCCAAAACUUUAUCAUUUAAAAUACCAACAAAUAUUUACAUAAGUGAAGAUAUGGCAGAAAAUCACAUUUAGAUUAGCCAAACUGUUUUUAAGGUUUACACAACAUUAAAAGUGAAUCCAAAAUUAUUGAACUGUAGUUAUGAAUCUGAUGAACUGCAGAAAUAAUUAUAGUAUUUUACAUUGUUAUUUAAAGCCAUAGUUUAUGAAAAUACUCUUUGUAAACUUUGAAUGGAGACUUCAUGAAUGAUAACUGGUCAAACUUGCUUGUGUUAUUAUGGGAUACAAACAGUACAGUAGUCAUGGAGGAUGCAGGAGUGGAGAAGUCUGUUAUGUCUGUGCUGAAAGUGUAUUUAUUUUUCUAUUUUGUAUUUUAAGGGGACACUAUUGAUUGUAAUUGCCAUGUCAGAACCCCAUGAAAAUGCUGAAACAAGCAUGAUCUGUCACUUCAUUUACACAUAAAGUUAUUUUCAGUCGUGGACAAAAAAUAUAUAUUCCCACACAAUUUGUUUAGGUAUUAGUUUAUUUAAUUAGCUAAAUGCAGUUCUUGUUUGAUUUAUUUUCUGUAUUUAACAAGUUAGCCAUUUUCUAGUGUUUUAGAGUUACUUGUGCAGCUGUAUUUCCUCGUCUGGAUGAGGGCGGAGCAGUUAUGUUAAAGCUUGAUUCCAUGGCCAGGAGGUGUCAAAGAGGGUCGACUCAAAAUCCUGUUUCACGAAUUGUUGGUGUGUUGACUCAUUAAUGUACGAAACUAAAAUUGUUCAAUUUCAGUACGGUUAUUAUAUCUUCUUAAACCAAUUAUCUGUUUGGGUUGUUUUGGUGUAUUGUGUAGUUCCCUCCAGCUCAUUUCAAUUAUUUGAUUAGACAACAUAAAAACCCCUUGAUGCAUUUUGUUUGGAG